GACGAACGCUGGCGGCGUGCUUAACACAUGCAAGUCGAACGGAAAGGCCCUGCUUUUGUGGGGUGCUCGAGUGGCGAACGGGUGAGUAACACGUGAGUAACCUGCCCUUGACUUUGGGAUAACUUCAGGAAACUGGGGCUAAUAGCGGAUAGGAGCUCCUGCUGCAUGGUGGGGGUUGGAAAGUUUCGGCGGUGGGGGAUGGACUCGCGGCUUAUCAGCUUGUUGGUGGGGUAGUGGAUUACCAAGGCGUUGAGGAGUAGCCGGCCUGAGAGGGUGGGCGGCAAUGGUGGGACGGAGCGACGGCGAAGCCUCCGGCGGGAAGCAGUGGUGGAGAAUAUUGCACAGUGGGCAGAAGGAUGAAGCAGCACCGCCGCGUGCGGGAUGACGGCCUUCGUGUAGUAACCCGCUUUCGACUGUGACGAAGCGUGAGUGACGGUAAUGGGUAAAGAAGCACCGGCUAACUACGUG
RNAcentral lists this ribosomal RNA (468 nucleotides) under uncultured bacterium. RNAcentral's name for it is "partial 16S ribosomal RNA". It matches the Rfam family "Bacterial small subunit ribosomal RNA", at positions 28 to 507 of the family's 1533-position model. The record is from RNAcentral.